This 246-nucleotide ribosomal RNA is filed under the name uncultured bacterium. RNAcentral's name for it is "partial 16S ribosomal RNA". It matches the Rfam family "Bacterial small subunit ribosomal RNA", at positions 524 to 767 of the family's 1533-position model. The record is from RNAcentral.
UACGUAGGUGGCAAGCGAUACUCGGAAUCACUAGGCGUAAAGCGCAGGUAGGAGGUUUAGUAAGUCUGUUGUGAAAGCUCCCGGCUCAACUGGGAGAGGUCAACGGAAACUGCUAGGCUAGAGUGUGGUAGAGGUAGCUGGAAUUCCCGGGUGUAGCGGUGAAAUGCGUAGAUAUCGGGAGGAAUACCUAUGGCGAAAGCAGGCUACUGGACCAUCACUGACUCUGAUCUGCGAAAGGCUAGGGGA